This 238-nucleotide ribosomal RNA is filed under the name uncultured bacterium. Its description in RNAcentral is "partial 16S ribosomal RNA". It matches the Rfam family "Bacterial small subunit ribosomal RNA", at positions 96 to 334 of the family's 1533-position model. The record is from RNAcentral.
CGGCGGACGGGUGAGUAACGCGUGGGUAACCUGCCUCAUACAGGGGGAUAACAGUUAGAAAUGACUGCUAAUACCGCAUAAGACCACGGUACCGCAUGGUACAGUGGUAAAAACUCCGGUGGUAUGAGAUGGACCCGCGUCUGAUUAGGUAGUUGGCGGGGUAACGGCCCACCAAAGCGACGAUCAGUAGCCGGCCUGAGAGGGUGAACGGCCACAUUGGGACUGAGACACGGCCCAA